UACGUAGGCAGCAAGCGUUGUUCGGAGUUACUGGGCGUAAAGAGUGCGUAGGCGGUCCUGUAAGUUUGGUGUGAAAUCUCCCGGCUCAACUGGGAGGGUGCGCCGAAGACUGCAGGGCUUGAGUAUGGGAGAGGUAAGCGGAAUUCCCGGUGUAGCAGUGAAAUGCGUAGAGAUCGGGAGGAACAUCAGUUGCGAAGGCGGCUCUCUGGACCAGCACUGACACUGAGGCACGAAAGCGUGGGGAGCAAACAGG
Molecule: ribosomal RNA, 253 nt
Filed under: uncultured bacterium
Lineage: Bacteria
Description: partial 16S ribosomal RNA
Rfam family: Bacterial small subunit ribosomal RNA
Source: RNAcentral